RNAcentral lists this ribosomal RNA (212 nucleotides) under uncultured bacterium. RNAcentral's name for it is "partial 16S ribosomal RNA". It matches the Rfam family "Bacterial small subunit ribosomal RNA", at positions 1289 to 1500 of the family's 1533-position model. The record is from RNAcentral.
CAGUUCGGACUGCAGGCUGCAACCCGCCUGCACGAAGUUGGAAUUGCUAGUAAUCGUGGAUCAGCAUGCCACGGUGAAUACGUUCCCGGGUCUUGUACACACCGCCCGUCACACCAUGGGAGUCGGUAACACCCGAAGUCAGUAGUCUAACCGCAAGGAGGACGCUGCCGAAGGUGGGAUUGACGACUGGGGUGAAGUCGUAACAAGGUACC